Molecule: ribosomal RNA, 498 nt
Filed under: uncultured bacterium
Lineage: Bacteria
Description: bacterial SSU rRNA
Rfam family: Bacterial small subunit ribosomal RNA
Source: RNAcentral
GACGAACGCUGGCGGCGUGCCUAACACAUGCAAGUCGAACGGAGAUUAGCGCGGAACGGAAGAGAGCUUGCUUUUGGAAAUUCUUGCUGAUCUUAGUGGCGGACGGGCGAGUAACGCGUGAGCAACCUGCCCUUCAGUGGGGAACAACAGCCGGAAACGGCUGCUAAUACCGCAUAAUGUGCUUUGGUCGCAUGACCGAAGUACCAAAGGAGCAAUUCGCUGAAGGAUGGGCUCGCGUCCGAUUAGCUAGUUGGUGAGGUAACGGCCCACCAAGGCGACGAUCGGUAGCCGAACUGAGAGGUUGAUCGGCCGCAUUGGGACUGAGACACGGCCCAGACUCCUACGGGAGGCAGCAGUGGGGGAUAUUGCACAAUGGAGGAAACUCUGAUGCAGCAACGCCGCGUGAGGGAAGACGGUCUUCGGAUUGUAAACCUAAGUUAUCAGGGACGAAAGAAAUGACGGUACCUGAAGAGAAAGCUCCGGCUAACUACGUGCCAG